GGGUUGUGAGGUUAAGCGACUAAGCGUACACGGUGGAUGCCCUGGCAGUCAGAGGCGAUGAAGGACGUGCUAAUCUGCGAUAAGCGUCGGUAAGGUGAUAUGAACCGUUAUAACCGGCGAUUUCCGAAUGGGGAAACCCAGUGUGUUUCGACACACUAUCAUUAACUGAAUCCAUAGGUUAAUGAGGCGAACCGGGGGAACUGAAACAUCUAAGUACCCCGAGGAAAAGAAAUCAACCGAGAUUCCCCCAGUAGCGGCGAGCGAACGGGGAGGAGCCCAGAGCCUGAAUCAGUAUGUGUGUUAGUGGAAGCGUCUGGAAAGGCGAGCGAUACAGGGUGACAGCCCCGUACACAAAAAUGCACAUGCUGUGAGCUCGAUGAGUAGGGCGGGACACGUGGUAUCCUGUCUGAAUAUGGGGGGACCAUCCUCCAAGGCUAAAUACUCCUGACUGACCGAUAGUGAACCAGUACCGUGAGGGAAAGGCGAAAAGAACCCCGGCGAGGGGAGUGAAAAAGAACCUGAAACCGUGUACGUACAAGCAGUGGGAGCACGCUUAGGCGUGUGACUGCGUACCUUUUGUAUAAUGGGUCAGCGACUUAUAUUCUGUAGCAAGGUUAACCGAAUAGGGGAGCCGAAGGGAAACCGAGUCUUAACUGGGCGUUAAGUUGCAGGGUAUAGACCCGAAACCCGGUGAUCUAGCCAUGGGCAGGUUGAAGGUUGGGUAACACUAACUGGAGGACCGAACCGACUAAUGUUGAAAAAUUAGCGGAUGACUUGUGGCUGGGGGUGAAAGGCCAAUCAAACCGGGAGAUAGCUGGUUCUCCCCGAAAGCUAUUUAGGUAGCGCCUCGUGAAUUCAUCUCCGGGGGUAGAGCACUGUUUCGGCAAGGGGGUCAUCCCGACUUACCAACCCGAUGCAAACUGCGAAUACCGGAGAAUGUUAUCACGGGAGACACACGGCGGGUGCUAACGUCCGUCGUGAAGAGGGAAACAACCCAGACCGCCAGCUAAGGUCCCAAAGUCAUGGUUAAGUGGGAAACGAUGUGGGAAGGCCCAGACAGCCAGGAUGUUGGCUUAGAAGCAGCCAUCAUUUAAAGAAAGCGUAAUAGCUCACUGGUCGAGUCGGCCUGCGCGGAAGAUGUAACGGGGCUAAACCAUGCACCGAAGCUGCGGCAGCGACGCUUAUGCGUUGUUGGGUAGGGGAGCGUUCUGUAAGCCUGCGAAGGUGUGCUGUGAGGCAUGCUGGAGGUAUCAGAAGUGCGAAUGCUGACAUAAGUAACGAUAAAGCGGGUGAAAAGCCCGCUCGCCGGAAGACCAAGGGUUCCUGUCCAACGUUAAUCGGGGCAGGGUGAGUCGACCCCUAAGGCGAGGCCGAAAGGCGUAGUCGAUGGGAAACAGGUUAAUAUUCCUGUACUUGGUGUUACUGCGAAGGGGGGACGGAGAAGGCUAUGUUGGCCGGGCGACGGUUGUCCCGGUUUAAGCGUGUAGGCUGGUUUUCCAGGCAAAUCCGGAAAAUCAAGGCUGAGGCGUGAUGACGAGGCACUACGGUGCUGAAGCAACAAAUGCCCUGCUUCCAGGAAAAGCCUCUAAGCAUCAGGUAACAUCAAAUCGUACCCCAAACCGACACAGGUGGUCAGGUAGAGAAUACCAAGGCGCUUGAGAGAACUCGGGUGAAGGAACUAGGCAAAAUGGUGCCGUAACUUCGGGAGAAGGCACGCUGAUAUGUAGGUGAAGCGACUUGCUCGUGGAGCUGAAAUCAGUCGAAGAUACCAGCUGGCUGCAACUGUUUAUUAAAAACACAGCACUGUGCAAACACGAAAGUGGACGUAUACGGUGUGACGCCUGCCCGGUGCCGGAAGGUUAAUUGAUGGGGUCAGCGCAAGCGAAGCUCUUGAUCGAAGCCCCGGUAAACGGCGGCCGUAACUAUAACGGUCCUAAGGUAGCGAAAUUCCUUGUCGGGUAAGUUCCGACCUGCACGAAUGGCGUAAUGAUGGCCAGGCUGUCUCCACCCGAGACUCAGUGAAAUUGAACUCGCUGUGAAGAUGCAGUGUACCCGCGGCAAGACGGAAAGACCCCGUGAACCUUUACUAUAGCUUGACACUGAACAUUGAGCCUUGAUGUGUAGGAUAGGUGGGAGGCUUUGAAGUGUGGACGCCAGUCUGCAUGGAGCCGACCUUGAAAUACCACCCUUUAAUGUUUGAUGUUCUAACGUUGACCCGUAAUCCGGGUUGCGGACAGUGUCUGGUGGGUAGUUUGACUGGGGCGGUCUCCUCCUAAAGAGUAACGGAGGAGCACGAAGGUUGGCUAAUCCUGGUCGGACAUCAGGAGGUUAGUGCAAUGGC
Molecule: ribosomal RNA, 2341 nt
Filed under: Escherichia coli
Lineage: Bacteria; Pseudomonadati; Pseudomonadota; Gammaproteobacteria; Enterobacterales; Enterobacteriaceae
Description: partial 23S ribosomal RNA
Rfam family: Bacterial large subunit ribosomal RNA
Source: RNAcentral